This 952-nucleotide ribosomal RNA is filed under the name uncultured organism. RNAcentral's name for it is "bacterial SSU rRNA". It matches the Rfam family "Bacterial small subunit ribosomal RNA", at positions 527 to 1490 of the family's 1533-position model. The record is from RNAcentral.
GGAGGGUGCCAGCGUUAUCCGGAUUAAUUAGGUUUAAAGGGUGUGCAGGCGGACUAACAAGUCGGCUGUGAAAUUUACGGGCUCAACCCGUGACUUGCGGUCGAAACUGUUGGUCUUGAGUGAAGAUGCUGCAGNCGGAAUGUGUGGUGUANCGGUGAAAUGCAUAGAUACCACCCAGAACCCCGAUUGCGAAGGCAGCUUGCAAAACUUCCACUGACGCUGAUGCACGAAAGCGUGGGUAGCGAACAGGAUUAGAUACCCUGGUAGUCCACGCAGUAAACGAUGACCACUGGCUUUUGGUGAUACACAAUCAGAGGCUGAGCGAAAGCAUUAAGUGGUCCACCUGGGGAUUACGUUCGCAAGAAUGAAACUCAAAGGAAUUGACGGGGGCCCGCACAAGCGGAGGAACAUGUGGUUUAAUUCGAUGAUACGCGAGGAACCUUACCUGGGCUUGAACUGUCAGUGACGCUUGGGGAAACCCAAGUUCCCUUCUGGGCGCUGUCAGAGGUGCUGCAUGGCUGUCGUCAGCUCGUGCCGUGAGGUGUCGGGUUAAGUCCCAUAACGAGCGCAACCCCUAUUGCUAGUUACCAGCACGUAAAGGUGGGGACUUUAGUGAGACUGCCACCGUAAGGUGAGAGGAAGGCGGGGAUGACGUCAAGUCAGCACGGCCCUUAUGUCCAGGGCUACACACGUGUUACAAUGGCCGGUACAACGGGCAGCCAAGGGGCGACCCUGCGCCAAUCCCCAAAGCCGGCACUUAGUUCGGAUCGCAGUCUGCAACCCGACUGCGUGAAGGUGGAUUCGCUAGUAAUCGCGCAUCAGCCAUGGCGCGGUGAUACGUUCCCGGGCAUUGUACACACCGCCCGUCAAGCCAUGGAAGUUGGGGUUACACUGAAGUCCGUAACCGCAAGGAGCGGCACUAGGGUAAGUCCAGUGACUGGGCUAAGUCGUA